This 404-nucleotide ribosomal RNA is filed under the name uncultured bacterium. RNAcentral describes it as "partial 16S ribosomal RNA". It matches the Rfam family "Bacterial small subunit ribosomal RNA", at positions 355 to 774 of the family's 1533-position model. The record is from RNAcentral.
UAGGGAAUUUUGCGCAAUGGACGAAAGUCUGACGCAGCAACACCGCGUGAGUGAUGAAGCAUCUUGGUGUGUAAAGCUCUGUCAAUGGGGAAGAAGUUCUGACGGUACCCAUAGAGGAAGCAUCGGCUAACUACGUGCCAGCAGCCGCGGUAAGACGUAGGAUGCGAGCGUUGUCCGGAAUUAUUGGGCGUAAAGAGUUCGUAGGUGGCAUAUCAAGUCUGGUGUUAAAGACCGGGGCUCAACUCCGGAAGGGCACUGGAUACUGAUAAGCUAGAGUGUAGUAGAGGCAAAGGGAAUUCCUAGUGUAGCGGUGAAAUGCGUAGAUAUUAGGAGGAACACCAGUGGCGAAAGCGCUUUGCUGGACUAUUACUGACACUGAGGAACGAAAGCCAGGGUAGCGAAUG